Clupea harengus (Atlantic herring) is the source of this 2947-nucleotide long non-coding RNA. NCBI's taxonomy places the organism in Eukaryota, Metazoa, Chordata, Actinopteri, Clupeiformes, Clupeidae. The record is from Ensembl.
GUGGAUCUUAUGGUACUUGGCGAUUCAACACUUUACACGCAGAACUACAUAUUUACAACUUACAUUUUAUGACAAAUGCACAGCCGACAGACGAUCAUUACAAGUUCAAGGAUCAGACGCUCUUCAUUUCCGAAUUACGGGAGACAGACACAGGGAUUUUCUCUUGGGGGGUUGACGUGAAUUUUCACACGGUCCUCAAACUUGUGAUUAAAGACUGUACUAUGCCACAGGUGGUUGGCUUCGGACAACCUUUGAAAUUGAAGGUUCCCCACGAGGCAUCCAUCCUAGAGUUUGUCCAUCCAUCUUCCCCGAAUAGAGGGGAGGUUCUAUGGAACACCUCCAGUUCCUAUGACGAUGUUUCCAAGGGUGUUAUUCAGGAGUCCUACUGGAUGGUUCGUGCGGCAACCACCGCUGACAUGGGUUCUUACACUUUCCGGAAACAAAGUGGGGCAGAGGUCUCGAAAACACAGGUGACCAUUACAGCCAAUGUUCAGGCUUUCAAUAUGGAUGAGGAACUGUAUGGAAGUGGCAUCUGGGGAACCAAUCUUCAGAUCCCUGACCAUGAAAUAUCGGUGGUUUUCAGUCCACAACCAGGCGAGGAAUACCGGAUUGUUAGCGGAGGGACACAAACGGACGAGGGAAAACGGCUCUUUGAGGAUCGGAUUCGGUUGCGAGGCAGCCCGAAUGCAUUCAUCCUCGAGCUGGAUGAUAUACAGAGGAGUGAUGCAGGCAGAUACCAGUUUUUUGACAAGGAUGGAAUUCUGGUUGCUCUGAGGAUUCUACGUACAUACCAGCAGACCUACUACAUGUAUCUUUUGGCACUGAUCCCUGUAGUGCUCCUCAUACUGCUCGGCGUGUGUGUGUGGAAGUGCUGCUGUAACAAAGGCAAAAGCCGCACCCCCUCUGCCCCAGCAGCUACGGCUCGCCAGUGCCAUGCAGCCCUAUAGUGGAAUAGAGGUGAGUCAGCCUGAGCCAACCAACGAGACAGGGGCUCACCGUCCUUCUGACACGCCCCUUCUCCUCCCUCAUCUGUUGAGUCUUCGCCCCAGCCCCAGCCCCAGCCCCAGCCCCAGUUCCAGUUCAAUAACAUGGGUGACUUUUUCAAGGACUUCACCGACUUCACCGACUUCACCAACUUCACCAACUUCACCACCUCUUUCAGCACGUCCACUACGAACACCACUACCACCGUCUUCCCGUCCUGUACUAGAAAUCAGAGUGGUCCCACUUUUCAACACUGGACCUCAAACAAUGAAGACAUGUCAGACAGGUGUGAAACCUCUUAAUUGCAACCGUUGCUACUUCUCCUUCCACUGCUGGAGGGAUUGUGUUGAGGUGGUCUGUGAUUAGGAAGAAUAUUACACCCUGUUUAGAUGCACCCUGAAUGACAGAUCUAUCAUUAUCAUCUAUCAUCAAUGACAGAUCUAUCAUUAUCUAUCAUCUAUCUGGUAUAUUUGUCAAGAAAAAUAGUUAUGUUAUCUUAAUUUGAUACUUUUUUUGUUUUAUGUUCUUUGAAGGCAUGCUUUAUUUAGAACUUUUCCAUUGGCCUGUUACACCACACAAUGCUUGCAGAUUUAGUUCUGGCCAUUAUUAAUCUGUGUCCUGUGCCUAAUAAGUUUCUGUGCCUAUUGUCUGUCAGAAAAGCCUAAUACUGAACAACUUUGUCAGGGGUAAAUGUUGCAGGUUUCCAAAACAGCUUUUUGGUAAUUUAGCCUUUGGGACCAUUUCUGUAGACACUAACCACAGCCUAUAAGAUCCACAGGGAGGUGAAGAAUUGUACUUGUUCAAAAAUCUGAAAAACAUUACCAAACACACACCAUUUCCUCACACCUCGGACCUGUGCAUAUGUUAUAUGUUAUAUGUAAAUGUAAACUACAUUUGUAAAUGUUUGUGUUUAUGCCCCCUACUACACUGUCUGCCCAGUGCCAGUGUGCCCAAUGCCCACCCAUACAGUACCCUUCAACAGAGUGCAAAAGCUGCAGUGUGUGUCUCUGUGUGCUCACAACCCUAAGGGCCCACAGCGUGGAUUACUCACAUACCACAGUACCUCAGAAAUAUUCUUACACGAUCAUAAAAAAAAAGUGUAACAUGUGUUUCAUAAAUGUCACAUAUGUCAUUUGAAGUAACACUAUGCAACAAUUUGACACUUUUUGAGAUAUGGCUUUAUAGGCAACUAGUUUUGGUACCAUCCUCAAAUUCAUUUUGAUAGCAUAUGGUCAUGUGAAGGACAGAUAAACACCUGUGUCUUCCCCACUAGCCAUCCAGGAUAUGCCCUAUGUAGUUCUGUUUAACGGGCUGGUACACCCUGCAAAAAUGGAAGAAAAGCUUAUACACGCAUGACAUUGCCAGCUAAACUGCCAAAAUACACCAGUUAAAGGCCCUUAGUGUGUUGGCAAGCUUCUAUCAGUGUCAGCUGUUGGUGGUGUUUGCAAGGUUUUUGCAUGCCUUUUAGGUAGUUAGCUUACUAGUUUUUGGAACAGAACUCCGUAUUGCUGCUUUUAGAUCAGGUCAACGUAAUUUUGACAGUGCCUUAUAACAGGCUGUUCUAACCUAGCACUUGUUGUCUUGAGAAAUGCCAUGUCUUUUAAAGCGAUCAUAUGAAUUAGCAGUAACUGUUGUGUAUUGUGUUAAACAUUUCAAAAUGAAAUGCAAAAUUAAUGUAAAAAUGCACUGAAAAAUGUAAAUGUAAAUACUAUUGUCAAAAUAGUUGGAAAGGCUUCAGUUGCUCACAGGUUUUUAUUGACGUUUUUAGUAGAUUAUAAACAAAUCUAAUAUAUUGUUAAAAUGUAAUAGAAGGUUGUGGCAGUUUUUAUGUGAAAAGUCAGUGUUAACUUUUAAGGAAGAAAACAACAAUCCUGAUAAUGUUUUUGAGUUGCUCUUCUGUGUUUUCCCACCUUGAACAGUCUGUUUUGUGGAAUUUUUUUUUUUAAAUAAAAAGACUCUUUUC